GACGAACGCUGGCGGCGUGCUUAACACAUGCAAGUCGAACGGAAAGGCCCUGCUUUUGUGGGGUGCUCGAGUGGCGAACGGGUGAGUAACACGUGAGUAACCUGCCCUUGACUUUGGGAUAACUUCAGGAAACUGGGGCUAAUACCGGAUAGGAGCUCCUGCUGCAUGGUGGGGGUUGGAAAGUUUCGGCGGUUGGGGAUGGACUCGCGGCUUAUCAGCUUGUUGGUGGGGUAGUGGCUUACCAAGGCUUUGACGGGUAGCCGGCCUGAGAGGGUGACCGGCAACAUUGGGACUGAGAUACGGCCCAGACUCCUACGGGAGGCAGCAGUGGGGAAUAUUGCACAAUGGGCGGAAGCCUGAUGCAGCAACGCCGCGUGCGGGAUGACGGCCUUCGGGUUGUAAACCGCUUUCGCCUGUGACGAAGCGUGAGUGACGGUAAUGGGUAAAGAAGCACCGGCUAACUACGU
RNAcentral lists this ribosomal RNA (467 nucleotides) under uncultured bacterium. Its description in RNAcentral is "partial 16S ribosomal RNA". It matches the Rfam family "Bacterial small subunit ribosomal RNA", at positions 28 to 506 of the family's 1533-position model. The record is from RNAcentral.